This 204-nucleotide unclassified non-coding RNA is filed under the name uncultured fungus. RNAcentral's name for it is "sequence contains ITS1, 5.8S rRNA gene". Lineage: Eukaryota; Fungi. The record is from RNAcentral.
GUACAUUAGUGCUUGCGCACGACAAUAGUUUUCGUUACAUUCGAGUGUGUAUAAAAAUCCUCUGCCAGCCAAAGCUAGCAAGAGGCCAAAGGUUCACAUGGGUAUUGGAUGAAGGCCACCAACGUGCACAUGCUCGUAAGAGCCAGCACUGAAGGCAGCCAUUCGCAAUCAUUAAUGAUCCUUCCGCAGGUUCACCUACGGAAA